AUGGCUGAGGAUACCAAGUUCCUCCUUUUGUUGCUCCUCUUGAACAGCUCAACAUUGUGUUUUAGUACUAAACAUGAUAUCCAGUGUCUGAAGUCUGUGCAACAAUCAGUGAUUGAUCCCUUGUGUGUACUCAAAUCCUCUUGGAACUUCAGAAAUAACACCGACGGUUACAUAUGCCGCUUUACUGGUGUGGUAUGCUGGCACCCCGACAAAAACAGGGUUCUCUCUCUGCGACUCAGCAACCUAGGACUUGAAGGCCCAUUUCCCCAAGGUCUUCAAAAUUGCACAAGCAUGAGUGGCUUGGACCUGUCGUCUAACAACUUUUCAGGAUCCAUUCCCUCUGGUAUUGCACAUCAGAUACCGUAUGUGACAUCUCUGAAUCCCUCAUACAAUAACUUUUCAAGUGAAAUCCCAGAGAGUAUGGCAAAUUUGGCAUACCUGAACAUGGUCAACCUUCAACAUAACCAGCUCGGAGGUGAAAUUCCAGAGCACUUCAGCAUGCUCGGUCGGUUAACCUCGUUCAAUGUUGCAGACAAUUUGCUAUCAGGGCAUAUCCCCACUUUUGCACAGGACUUCUCACCUUUAAAUUUUGCCGGUAACCGGGACCUUUGUGGUGCACCAUUGGACGAGUGCCCCCGGAGUCGAAGAUGGAUGCUGGUACCAAUCAAGCUACGCAGGAUCAAUGAAGAGUCUAGUAUCGGAGCGGCUGUCGGGUUUGUCCUAGGGUUCGUGGUGGCCUUCUACUUCCACUUGUACUGCUGUGAGAGGCUCCUUCCUUAUGUCUUCCGC
Molecule: ribosomal RNA, 789 nt
Filed under: Triticum aestivum (bread wheat)
Lineage: Eukaryota; Viridiplantae; Streptophyta; Magnoliopsida; Poales; Poaceae
Description: partial small subunit ribosomal RNA
Source: RNAcentral